AUUGAACGCUGGCGGCAUGCCUUACACAUGCAAGUCGAACGGCAGCACGGGUGCUUGCACCUGGUGGCGAGUGGCGAACGGGUGAGUAAUACAUCGGAACAUGUCCUGUAGUGGGGGAUAGCCCGGCGAAAGCCGGAUUAAUACCGCAUACGAUCUACGGAUGACAGCGGGGGACCGUCGGGCCUCGCGCUAUAGGGUUGGCCGAUGGCUGAUUAGCUAGUUGGUGGGGUAAAGGCCUACCAAGGCGACGAUCAGUAGCUGGUCUGAGAGGACGACCAGCCACACUGGGACUGAGACACGGCCCAGACUCCUACGGGAGGCAGCAGUGGGGAAUUUUGGACAAUGGGCGAAAGCCUGAUCCAGCAAUGCCGCGUGUGUGAAGAAGGCCUUCGGGUUGUAAAGCACUUUUGUCCGGAAAGAAAUCCUUGGCCCUAAUACGGUCGGGGGAUGACGGUACCGGAAGAAUAAGCACCGGCUAACUACGUG
This 486-nucleotide ribosomal RNA is filed under the name uncultured bacterium. RNAcentral describes it as "partial 16S ribosomal RNA". It matches the Rfam family "Bacterial small subunit ribosomal RNA", at positions 30 to 507 of the family's 1533-position model. The record is from RNAcentral.